This is a long non-coding RNA of Daphnia pulex (common water flea), 464 nucleotides long. RefSeq lists it as uncharacterized. The transcript is spliced from 2 exons. NCBI's taxonomy places the organism in Eukaryota, Metazoa, Arthropoda, Branchiopoda, Diplostraca, Daphniidae. The record is from RefSeq and is a predicted model, not a curated record.
AACAGUCCAUUGAGUCCAGCAAAGGUGUCGUCUGCAUUCUAUAUCAUUACUGUCUAAUUUUCACACGAGGAUAAUAGUCAAAGUGAAAAUGCAUUGGAUACCUAUAGAAGAAAUCCCUAACAGUAUUUUGUAUAGUGAUUCGCUCGAAGAGUAUGUCAUAGACGCAAGGGAUUCAAGAAGCCCAAAAGAAAUAAAUGAAGUCAUCGAACGCCACAAGGCAAGUUGUCAUUUGCUGAAGGAGGAGGAUUGUAAACUCCAAAUGAUAGAAAACUCACAAAUGAAUCUAACAGAUUAUACCGAAAGCAGCAGUGGCCGUUGGAUAGUGCAGCACAAUACCAAUCGGGGGCAUCACUGAAAACAUAAUGGAAUGUUAUAUUGUAAUACUCAAUGCAGUUCUAUGUGGAUUUUCAUUGUGUUGUAAUUUCAAUUUCCAUUGUGAUAUAAAUGAAAUGUGAGAGACAGCA